AACGAACGCUGGCGGCAUGCCUAACACAUGCAAGUCGAACGAGACCUUCGGGUCUAGUGGCGCACGGGUGCGUAACGCGUGGGAACCUGCCCUUAGGUUCGGAAUAACUCCCCGAAAGGGGUGCUAAUACCGGAUAAUGUCUUCGGACCAAAGAUUUAUCGCCUUUGGAUGGGCCCGCGUUGGAUUAGCUAGUUGGUAGGGUAAAAGCCUACCAAGGCGACGAUCCAUAGCUGGUCUGAGAGGAGGAUCAGCCACACUGGGACUGAGACACGGCCCAGACUCCUACGGGAGGCAGGAGGGGGGAAUAUUGGACAAUGGGCGAAAGCCUGAUACAGCAAUGACGCGUGAGUGAUGAAGGCCUUAGGGUUGUAAAGCUCUUUUACCCGGGAUGAUAAUGACAGUACCGGGAGAAUAAGCUCCGGCUAACUCCGUG
RNAcentral lists this ribosomal RNA (433 nucleotides) under uncultured bacterium. RNAcentral's name for it is "partial 16S ribosomal RNA". It matches the Rfam family "Bacterial small subunit ribosomal RNA", at positions 29 to 507 of the family's 1533-position model. The record is from RNAcentral.